UCUGAAAGGUGUUUAAGGGCUUAGGAAU
RNAcentral lists this non-coding RNA (28 nucleotides) under Rattus norvegicus (Norway rat). The record is from RNAcentral. Lineage: Eukaryota; Metazoa; Chordata; Mammalia; Rodentia; Muridae.